GACGAACGCUGGCGGCGUGCUUAACACAUGCAGGUCGAACGGAAAGGCCCUGCUUUUGUGGGGUGCUCGAGUGGCGAACGGGUGAGUAACACGUGAGUAACCUGCCCUUGACUUUGGGAUAACUUCAGGAAACUGGGGCUAAUACCGGAUAGGAGCUCCUGCUGCAUGGUGGGGGUUGGAAAGUUUCGGCGGUUGGGGAUGGACUCGCGGCUUAUCAGCUUGUUGGUGGGGUAGUGGCUUACCAAGGCUUUGACGGGUAGCCGGCCUGAGAGGGUGACCGGCCACAUUGGGACUGCGAUACGGCCCAGACUCCUACGGGAGGCAGCAGUGGGGAAUAUUGCACAAUGGGCGGAAGCCUGAUGCAGCAACGCCGCGUGCGGGAUGACGGCCUUCGGGUUGUAAACCGCUUUCGCCUGUGACGAAGCGUGAGUGACGGUAAUGGGUAAAGAAGCACCGGCUAACUACGUG
This 468-nucleotide ribosomal RNA is filed under the name uncultured bacterium. RNAcentral describes it as "partial 16S ribosomal RNA". It matches the Rfam family "Bacterial small subunit ribosomal RNA", at positions 28 to 507 of the family's 1533-position model. The record is from RNAcentral.